RNAcentral lists this microRNA precursor (79 nucleotides) under Bombyx mori (domestic silkworm). RNAcentral's name for it is "mir-2807 microRNA precursor family". It matches the Rfam family "mir-2807 microRNA precursor family". Lineage: Eukaryota; Metazoa; Arthropoda; Insecta; Lepidoptera; Bombycidae. The record is from Rfam by way of RNAcentral.
UUAACUCAAACUUGAUUUGGAAUGUUUGCCUACGUUUGCCGCUAGGGGCGCUGUUCCAACUCCAUACCAAUUUGAGUAA